CUAAAGAAGGCUUUUCCAGCCACCAAGAUCGUUGGAACUGUCACUCGUAACUGUGUUUUGGUUAACAACGGGUGUAGUAACUCUUCUAUUUGCAGGCUGUACACUGGGAGUUCUUGCCUCAGAUGGUAUCAAUGGUGGGUACAAGCUGGCUGAGGAGGAAGGAGUUACACUAUUGAAGUUUGAUAAACCACUUGUUGGAGUGGCAUAGUGGAAAGAAGAUUUAGCGGUUACGGCGGGUGUAGAAGCACGUUGAGAAUAACUUCGAUAUGAAGAUGCACUCGAAGUUUCGCGGGCAACACCCUGGCUGGACAAGCUUGCUUGAGAAGUAAAGAUGUUAGUGGUAGCCUUAUUAGGUGAUAUAGAGGACGGCUUGGAAGUUGCUUCCUUAGUCUGCGAUGAAAAUGGAUCGGUAGUGAUUCGAUUGGGGACUACAGAAGAAGGCUUGGAUUGUAAUUUUUUAGCAUGAGAUUUUUGAACAGCGUCACUCAAACUUCGAAUUUCUCUCAUACAUUUAUUAUACUGUUCGAGAGACAGACUUGGUGAAACACUUAAAAUCCAUAAUCUGGGAAUCACUUGUUCAUGUACUGUCUCUUCGGGAAUUAUGGCACCGGCAGAAAUAUAAACCGUAACCAUUCCCAUUACAACAGUUGGUUCUCGAGUUUUCACCUUCUCUAAAACAGGUAAUAACUUGUCAACAAUCGCAAAAGAAUCUAAAAAUUUUUGAUUGAUGAAAACGUUAAACGUGUCUAAGAUGGCGACCUUUACAUCUAACUGAUUCGUAACGGAGAAAGAAUGAUAAAGUUUAGGACAAAUAGAAGACUUUACAGUCGUGACAUCGAUGAUAUCAAGGAGAGUACCAAGUAUUUGGAUGGACGUUGUUUGCACAUUCAAUGAUGAAUUUUCGAAACAACCAUAUAUGAACGGAACAAUUUUGGACAAGAAUUCACCACUUGGUAGCUUGGAUUUUAAACAAUCCAUAUAUUGAAAUAUGCAUAAGGGAACUCUUUCAGGAUAUGAAUUAGCAGCCGAUAUAAUAGGAAAAAUUGCCGUAAAUACUUUCGAAGAAAAAAUUGAAGAAUCUAAACCCUUAGAGAUUUCAAAGAUACAAGGCAACAAUGAAGGCACCAGCUUUUGGUCGUUUAAAUGGUCCAACAAAGUAGGCAAGAUUUUUUGAGAUUGAAUACGAUAGGGGAACGUAGUAAGAUUCUUACUCAACGAUUCCAUAAAAGAAACCUUCUCAGAUGGAAGUUUCUCAGGAAAACUCUCUAAAAACCGAAGAGCAGCUAUAGCACUUCCUGUAAAAUAGGGAGAUCUCUCUAGCUCAAACAUACUAGCCCUUUGCUUUGGAUCCACAGCUAAUGUUUCCUUUAACAAGGAUUUUAAAUUUUCAGAUGGCAAAUUUUUGCUUUCAAUGAAUGUAGGAGAGUUAAGAGAUGUGAUUUCCUUUUCAUAAGAUAAAAGAUGGUUAUUGGCGUUAAUUAUACUUUGAUUCUUAUUAAAAAUGGAGUAAAUCAAACACCCAAAUGAAAAUACAUCGCUUUCAGGACCAGCAAUUUCAUGAGUGAUAUAUUCUGGUGCCAAGAAGUCCAUGCUCUGUUGCAAGGAGGAUGGAAUUCCAAAGUCAUAAUCGUUGAAUUCAUAUCGAGCCGACUCAACCGACUGAGAAAAUGAGAAUCCGCAAAGUUUCCAAUCACCUUUAGCAUCCACUACUACUGAGCUUGGGCGAAUGUUGUAGUGAAUAACCUUCGCAGAACCAUGUAGGAAAACCAACCCAUCAAUAAUUUGUAGUAACCCUUUUUGAAUUUCAACUUCCUCCAACGCAUUCCCAGAUGAUUUACCAUUAGCAGAAGAACCGUAGUUGGAAAAUCCUCCGUUGGAAGACUUAAUGAAAUCUUGUAACAUAGAUUGAAUUCGACGAGUAACAAACGACAUACUAGAUUUCGAUUCUUCCAAAGGUUCAACCACUUGAAGCAAAGAGGGAUGCCUAAGUCGAGAAAGAGAAGACACAUCUUUUCUUAAAAGCUCUAAGACAUAGUUUGUUUUCAAAUUGGAGUCAAUAGACCCGCGUUUUAGUAAGGUGGACAAAUUCUUUUUAUCAAAUGUAAACACUGAAACCUCUUCGUUGGUUCCCUUUUUGGAUGCCGAAUAAACAGUCCAAGGACCUACUUGGACUGAAUUUUCUUUCUGGAUAUCAUAAUCAUAUUUAAUUUUUUUGGAAUUUGAUACUAAACAUUCAACGUUAGAAUACUUACUUGGGAUACGAAAUGUAUCUAAAUAGAUUAUAGAAAUGACGAUGAGGAUGAUCAAUUACAUAAACAUAACUACAAUCUUUCAUACAGCGCUGAUAAUCGAGUUUAUCAAGGAAUAUAGCAUACCUAGUCGAAGUGCAUUGGCUAACAUAAGCUGAAAAAGUGGAUGGCUUUGGAAAAAAACAACUUAAAACAACAAAAACAAAAAGAAAAAAUUAUAAUUAUUUUUGAAUCCCUUCGAAGCAAACCAAGUAUAAAAAUUGAACACCUUUUUUUCGCGGUAGUAUACAGUGGAGAUGGUAGGAAUGAAUGGCUUAUGGAUGAAAUUUUUAGGGUCAGUUCAAAAAGCAGUGAAACUCUUAUUUGGGAAACAGAGGAUUAAAUAAAAAGACAAUUAAUUAAAGAUUAUAAGAAAGUCGUAUUUUUUAGUUUGAUAAUCAUAACUUAGCCAAAAAACCUUGGGCAAUGAGUCGUUCAACGUCUGUAGCACGCACAUGCAAUUGUGAAUUUUUAGUAAGGUUAAUAGUACCAUAUUCAGUUUCAAUAUCUCCAACGUCCUUCAAAACUCGGACGUCUAUGAACAAAUUUUUAGGAGGAACCAAAGAACCAGUCAAAUCCAGCUCGGACCAAGCGCCUUUAUAAGCAGCCAAAAGUUCUGAAUAUCUCGUUAAAUAGUCACGCUCAUAAGUACUUAGAGAUGUAUCUAAACAAGAUUCCAUUCGUUUGCCUCCGCUCCAACAGUAUUGACGAAGCCGCUGCAGCCUUAAAUUAUGGUAAGCCAUUAAACAUCGCUUAUUGUAGAUACUAGAAGAAUGAAACAUCAAUAGAGCUGCCGCUUCAGAAGGAUGGUCCUGGGGCUGGAAAGGUUGACUAGCCUCAUGUGUAACAUUUUGAAGAAUUCCUAGACUUUCGCGAUCUGCUGCACGAAUUUCGUUGACAACAUCAUUAACGGUGUCCGCUUGGUAAGGUGGGAGAUAAUCUAAAUACUGAGUUCGCUUUGAGUCCCGAAUUAAUUUAUUUGAUCGAUUCCCCAAACCAUUCUCCAUAGUGAUUAGAAGCACUAACUAUCACGAUAUGCUUAAACAGAUUUUCCUAAUUAUGUUUAGUUUAAAAGAAACGGAUUAGUAUAAUUAACAACGACACUCGAUAGUUGUUUAAAGCUAUAUUGAAUGGUUGUGGAUGACAAGUCGUUGGAAAAUGACAUGUCUUUC
Molecule: long non-coding RNA, 3460 nt
Filed under: Schizosaccharomyces pombe (fission yeast)
Lineage: Eukaryota; Fungi; Ascomycota; Schizosaccharomycetes; Schizosaccharomycetales; Schizosaccharomycetaceae
Source: RNAcentral